UCAACAGUUUGAAAUUUGGCACACUGUGCCUGGAGCACUCUAGCGCCACCAAUGGGUCAAAGUUGGAAAUGCGUUCAUGCAUGUAACAUUUUCAACUGUAUAACUGAAUGCCCAAAAUGAAGCACCCUUGCAUUCCUUCAAUCAAGCCAAGUGCAAUGCCAUUUCAAUUUCAACAUGGAAUUUCAACCAUAUUGGAGCUAUUAGCACAAUUCAACUCUCUGGACACAUCCUUUGUUAAUCAUUAAGACACCAACGGAAUGAUGCUUGAUAAUGGGGCUGUGUAGCUUUAUAUGAAUAAUUAAAUAUCAGUUAUUCCCAGCAGUAAUAUCUAUUAGUGCCAGCAAAACAAUAGGGGAAGUGACUAUUUAAUCCAGCCUAAGAAGAACAUAUCAUUUAGUUUAGAGUCAGUCAAAUGAUUGGAGGAGUUAGUGACACUUACAGAAACAUUCACAAACAAGGAAAGAACACCUAUGUGUUUCAAUUAAUUGCACUGCUAAAAGCAACAUUGUUACCUCCAUCAAGUUGGUUAUGUUUUCAUUCCCGUUUGUUGGUUUGUUUAUCUCAGCAGGAUCUGCAAAAACUGAAACUUGAUGAAGGGGUGAAACAUGGGCCGAGGUAGAACCCAUUAAUAGAAUGGCUUCCAUGAUUUUGCUUUGAGAUCAACUUUAUUGAUUCAGGUUAUCAUAGUUUGAAAUUGAAAAAUUAAAUUUGAAUAGUUUAGAUUUUUUGUAACAAACCAGAAUGAUGUUGCACAGAUGAUAUCACCAUUUGAUGUGCCUCUCCGAGCUGACCAAAUAGCUGGUUGAAUAUUUGAUGGCAUGGUGAUGACGGUUACAAGUCAGGGCGUGUGGGGCAGUAGCUACCACUCACAGGUAGAGUUGUCAGGGCUAACACGAAGGACAAGACAUAUCGUGUCAUGGGAUGUGUUGGCUGAAACUGGAAAUGAAAGGUGUAGGAGUGAGCCCGCUGCACGGACAGUGAGGAUGUGAGAGAACUAGCGUGUCGGACCAGUAUGUUCAUCAGCAGCACAUAGUAGGAUACAACGCACAAUAAAGAACCAUGGGUGCCAGGUUCUGGUUUAUUUUGGUUAUUGCCAAUGAAGUGGCUGCCUUCACACGUCCACACCAACCUCCACCAUGUGAAGUGGGUAAGUGAUUACUGAGUGACGAUUUUAGAUUUUUGUAACAAAAAACUGAAUAGACUGUUUUUUUAUGUUUUAAAUCUCAUCCACAGUUCUCACAUUAUAUUGUAAUAAGAUGCUUGCGUGUUUUUGAAAAAAUAACAACAGUUUGCAGAGCUUUGCCUUUGAGUGGUAAGAGAGUGGGCUUAGACUCUAUCCCCCGUAUUUGGAAGAACACUUUGAGCCACUGCGCCCAAAUGGAGUUGAUCAAAUGCUAAUGCCUUGGGCUGUGCCCCAAUUGGAAUGCCCUUACCGCCCGUGCGGAGCGUAUGCAUUUGAACAACAAAGUAUUAUAGACUGUACAAUACAUUUGGACUCUAUGCUAGCUGAGUCUGCUCUUCUCUAAAAUGCUAGCCAAAUAAAACAUAAAUGAUGUUCUAUGUGUAUUUUGUACCAAGCAGGAAAUCAUUUUGGUUGUAGCAAUUCAUUCAUGCCAGCAUAAAUAGAUACUGCUUUAAUGCUUAGUCAAGCUCUGCAAUUUUUUGCAAUUUCUCUGUAAUUACCUACAUUAAUCCACUCUGUGGUUUUUAAUUUAAAUCAUACACUAAGGAAGUAGCUCUUUGUUUUGAACAAAUAUUACAUUCACUUUUUUGUAACUAUUUUGAUUUCCUCAAGUCAU
Molecule: long non-coding RNA, 1799 nt
Organism: Clupea harengus (Atlantic herring)
Lineage: Eukaryota; Metazoa; Chordata; Actinopteri; Clupeiformes; Clupeidae
Source: Ensembl